CACUGUGCACAUUUUAAAUUUAAAAUUCUGCACUAUGUAGAUGUAGAGCUAAAAUCCCCAUUUAUUGUCCAGUGAAUGUGAGGGAAAUUGGAUUUGUCAUGAAACUGAUUGAUAUCUCUGAAGUGUUUUGUUUUCAGUGACUGGCACUGCCGAGUUACAACCAUCUAUCAUCUAACAGGUAAUUAGUCAGAUUUCUCAUCAUGAGCCUUCAAUCCUGCUGUUUUAUUAUUGAAAUACCGCAAACCAGUAGGCAAUUUGAAUGCAGAUAAAGUUCUCUGUCAUGGUUGCUGUAAAGACAAAGACAAGAUUUUGCAAUUCAGCAGUAGAGAGUUUGAAUAAAAGUCACUGAAAUAUAAUUUUGGGUCUUACAGAACCUAAAUAUAUAAAUUUACAUUGAUACCCCAUUUAUUGUCUAAAGUGACAACCAAGAAAUUUGCUUUUACAAAGCACCCUAAUGUUUUAAUAUGAACUUAAUUUUUCAAGUAGAAAGUUAAGUGGAAGAACAUUGAUAUUAUAAAAAGAUGAUACAAAUGAACUAAGUCUUGAAAAAGAAAAGGUCUUUUCCUUUUUCCAAAAUAUUUUGAGAUAUCAGAUUAAAGUAAUCUGUAAUUAAUAAUAAGUAAUAAUAUGAAAAGUUUACUCUUUUUUUCAGUUGCAUUUUUUUCAUAGGAAAGUUUAGAAGUUAAAGUAAUCAGAAAAUCAAAAGAUGAAAUCUUUGGUCACUGUUUCACAUGCUUUGUAUUAAACAAGACACGAAGACACUUUUGGGGACUUCUGUGGUUUAUGUAUUUGAGGCAAAUCAUUGAUAAUUAAAUAUAAUUUUCUUGACUGAAUUCAAAACCAUUUAUAUGUUUUAGAAAACUGGUUUUCAAAAUAGUUCAGCUUUCCAAAAAAUCAUAGUGUCACAGGACACCACAGUCACUAUUUCUUAAUGAAGUAUGAAUAGAAUGUCUCUUCUGUCAAACUCUUUGAUAUAGUAAUAAAUAUUGGGUUGUCCAAAAAGUUUGUUUACCUUUUUUUUGUAAAAUAAAAUAAACAUUUUUUAUUUUCACCAAUAAUUUUAUUUAUUUGAAUAUUUUGAGUAUGUCGACCAUCCUGUCUGGUAUAACAUUAGUUGUUCUCAAUUAAUGUCUCAAUUUGAUUGCUAUCAAUUUCUACUGCUCUACCUGAUUGCAAAGCACCAUCCAACAAAAAAUCACCAGCACGAAACUUUGCAAACCACUUCUGACACAUUUGAUCAGUUACAGCACCAUCUCCAUAUACUGUGCAAAUCUUUUUUUGUUUUUCAGUUGUGUUUUUACCUUUCUUGAAAUAAUAAAGCAUAAUAUGCCCCAAAUUUUACAUGUCUUCUCCCAUCUUCAACAUUAAGAUGGCCAAACAAAAAUUCACCAAUUUUGAUGUAUUUUCUUUUAAAUGCACACUGAUAAGACAGCUGUCACAAUGUAAUCU
Long non-coding RNA from Phyllostomus discolor (pale spear-nosed bat), 1449 nucleotides. RefSeq lists it as uncharacterized. The transcript is spliced from 2 exons. NCBI's taxonomy places the organism in Eukaryota, Metazoa, Chordata, Mammalia, Chiroptera, Phyllostomidae. The record is from RefSeq and is a predicted model, not a curated record.